AGAUUAUAUCACAGAAAUGUUAUUCACUAUGUGUAUUGCAGAAGAAAACUGAUUGAGAACUAUUGCUGUAUAUAUUUAGGAUUUAUUCAAUAUGGGGCCAAUGUAUGUGAAUAAACCAGUGAAAAGAGAGGCCUUAAUUGAAAUUGCAAGGUCCUAGAAGGAAGCUAAGAAUACCUGAGCUUGGGAAAAAAGGAGGAGGAACAGGAAGAGAACAAGUUGUAGGAAAAUCUCUCCUUUUGGUUUUAGGAAUGAUUUAAAGGAUCAGCAUUUCAGCUUGUAGAAGACAGGAGAGCUAUCCUUAAGUCUGUAGAGUUAUCAUGUAGGAAGAGUCCACUUGUUUCUUGGCUUCCAUGUUGCUGAACUAGGUCCCAGGGUUGGAAGUUUCUGAAAGAUUUAUUUUUAGCUCAGUGUAACAAAGAGCUUCCAAACUACCAAAGAAAUUGAUCAUUUCCACCAAUUAAAGCAGCUUAAAAAGAAUGCAUUCUGUUCAAAAGAACUUUCCUCCUACUCUAGGCAGACAGGCAUCACAGGUUACAGUGGCCAUGGGUGGGGCGAGUGGUUCUACCAGUAACUCACAAGUUGCUUUACAACCCCAUGACCAUAGGAGUCCUGUCCCCGGACUGUUCCAUUUCAAAUACCUUAUUAUGAAAAAGUUUAAGCAUACAUUCAAUACAUAGUAGAUCUCCAUGCACCCAUCACCCAACGUCAACAGUUACCAACUCAAUUCUCGUUUCAGCUCCCCGCCCCCAACACAUGCUCUAUUUAUUUUGAGGAAACUCUGGCACGGUAUACUUCUAGCUGUAAAUAUUUCAGUAUAUAGUAAUAUCCUCAAAAGAUAAGGACUCUUGGCCAUAUAUAUUGAACCAUCCUUUACUGAGGUGUAACUUACACACCCCUGGCCGUAGUCUUGAUAGGUAAGACAAAUCCCUCCGUUUCUUGCCAUGUUUUUCUUCUACCACCUUAGUCCGACCACCAUGAUCUCUCUCCUGGACCACUUUCACGUGACCUCCUCUUGUCCACCCGGCAGCCAGACCAUCUUUCUGAAACAUCAAGCAGACUGUGUCAUUCUUCUACUCCCUGUGGUGGCCAUCCCGCUGCCUAGAAUAAGAUAAGAGCUUCCCACUGUGGCCUCUCAGACCUGCCCGGGGCCCGCCUCCACCCACUCUCCUCCUGGCCCAAUAAGUUCCACCCGCGUAGGUGUAGUUUAACAUCUCCCAGUCAUUUCUGUUUCACACCAAGCCGUCUGCGUUAGAACUUCUGCCCUUGCUCUUCUUCCCGACUAGAAUGAUUUUCCAGAAAUUUUCUCAUGAACGGCUUCCUGCCUUUCAGAUCUCAGUUCCUUAAUCAUGUCUUCAGAGAGACCUCUGACCACCUGAUCUGAACAGUCUUCCCUCUUGUUCUCUGUCCUAUCGCCCCGUUUCAGUCUCCAUAGCACACGGUUCUCUAGAAGCAGUCUGUCUCUGCACGUGUCCACCCUCUUACUGGCUGCUCCUCUGCACAGAAUACAAGCCACGCGAGAAGGGGGUUGCAUGCCUGUCUUGUUUAAUACCAGGGAGAAAGGUGUUAGGGCAGCUUGACUGUGAUCUGUUUCCCUCUAGUUACUGGGAACACACAGGGGCCACUCGGGAGAGAGAAGGCUGGACUGUCUCUGUCACCAAGGCAAUACCCCAUCUCCUGGUACGUAGACUCAUGGUAUUUGCUGGGAAGAGAGUCUUGAUCUAUGUGAUGCUUUUAGCAGGAUGUCUCUGGGUUAGGAUUGCGUGUGGUAAGUAAAUCUGUGAUCUGUGGAUCUGUGAGCCAUGGCUCCCCCAGAAACGUCUACAAGCUGCACAAGUACCUGAGGUAUGACGUGGAGAUAUUCCAUAGCCUGAAGGUUCCCCGCUGUGUGAACUGACCCUGUGCUUGGCCCAGAGGCCUGGGAGGAGAGGAGGCUCUGAACUUGAGUCUGCUUUUUCAUGCCUCCUGAUGGCUUCAUCCUUGAAAUUGCCAGUGAAACCUGAUCCAGGGUAAGAGCUCUGAUUCGUGAGUCCAGUUUGAGUAUCUGAUCAAUUUGUUGGCCCCACUGUCUGAUGCCCAGAGCCUACAGCACUGCUUGGCUCGAAGAGCAAAAUAAAUCCUUGCCUGUGAAUGGGCGCGAUCCAGUAUCUUGGGGACGGUCGACUGGAAUUAAAAGAGCCAUCUUUUUUGUAGCAGUUUUCUUCACUUUUAAGCAAUCCAUGUUACUUGUUUUAUUAGUUCCAUACUUUAUUUGGGAUACUCAGAUAUAAAGAAAUAUAUCCAGAUUAAUAGUGACAGUGGCUAGAAUCAAGGUUCAUAAAAAUAACUGACGUACUUUGGAAAAUGCUCCCUUGCAAGCGUGUGAUGACUCUGUGUGGGUGUCACAGUGACCACGUGGGACUGAUGAGGACUACGUAGGGCCUGGCUGUGCUGGCGUCCCACGGAACACACGGUAGGCGCGGCCCUGCUGUAAGGCGUAUCACUGCAUUUUAAAGCUUCUCCACGAGGGAAUCUUGAAAGAAAAAGUCCUCAAGUUAGAAGCACAGAAGCUUUCGCUCUCAUUUGAGCUAUCAGCACAGAACUUCAUUUUUGCUCUUUUGAGUCUGUUUUUGUUACUGGCACAGAAGGAUACUUUAAUAUUUUCCAGAGAUGAAGACUUGCAGGCACACUGGCAGCUUCUGAGUUUGCUUCUGUAAAGUGAUCCCUCAGUCUUGUGUGUGGUUGUUGGUCCUGAUUCCUUUAGAUGGAAGUAUUUGGGAAAGGUAUUGGGUUAAAUGGAGACACAAAUCUGAAAUAAUGUUGCUAUUUUCUGCUGGAAGCAACUAUUCCAACGUGGAUGUAUUGGGCAUGAAAACUAAACGGUAAUUGUUUUUAUUUAUCAUUAACAAUUCAUACAAAUCUAUAUGGAAAACUGCAUUCUCUGAACUUCAUCUUUGGCCUCCUUCAUUGCCCUUUCCUAACUUGCCAAGUUUUGUAUUAUCCUGACUUCAAAAAAGAUGGAAAUUUCCCAAGUAUGGGUGGUCUUGUUUCAGGCAGAUAGCACAUUGUAAAAUUAUUACACCACGUUUUAACCAGAGCACAGUUGUUUUAAGCUAUAUUAAGUACAUGUGGGUAACAGCUAGUAAGUUUCACUUCCAAGGAUAAGGUGAACUACUGGAAAAUAUCUUAUUGCUUUUAAAUUUUGCCUUUGCUUUCCAUGAUUUAUGUCAUAUUAUAAAAGAAAGAAAGAAAAAAGAACUUCUGAUGGAUGAGUCUGUUUUUCCCCCUGUUGCUGAAUUUAAGAAUUUGAAGUAGUUCAUGGUCUCCUUUAUAAAUAUAAAUAGUUCAUGAGGUCUCCUUUCAUGCCUUUUAAUUGUCAAACCCAAGAAAAUCUAAUAAUAGAUCUUUGAGCUUUAAAGAAAAUUAUGGAAAGGGAAUAUGGGCACUAAGUAGUGCUACCUUAUGCUUGGCAUGCCGGGAGACCUAUGCUCAGACUUUGGUUCUGAACAGAGUUUAUUUGCUGCUCCUCAAGUUCUCUAUGAUUGAUGGCAAUGUAUUAGUUCACAAUCCUGCCAGGUAUGGGAAUUACAUUUAUAGCCUCAAGAAAAUAAGUGACUUAUUGAAAAUUAUGGAGCUAGUUCAUAGCAGAGCACGUGUUAUAAGAGGUCUCCAGAAUCCUAGGUGGGUGUUUUCCCACUAUACUGUGGUAGCCUUUCAGUACAAUUUAGAAUUUUACUUGUGAAUGGUUAGCUAUCUUAAUUUUUAGAUAAGUCAUCUUAUAAAAUUAUACUUUAAAUGGUUCACAGAAUUAAAAAGAUAUUCAUAGGUAUCUUUUACAUUAAAAUAUUCUUAUAGAUGAGUAGAAAAUACAAAUGAUUUCAAGUUUUACCUGGAUGAGAAAUUUGUAUAUCCAGACAUUAGAGUAUAUGAAGUUACCAAGGAGGGAAUUUAAGAUAAGAGCUAACGGUGACCAAGAAAAAAGAAAGAAGACUCAAAUUACUGAAAUCAGAAAUGGAAGUGGAGACAUCACUGACUAUCUUACAAAUGAGCUACUGUAUGACAGUAAUGUAUGUAGCUUGGGUGAAACGGAAACAGUCCUAGAAAGAUACAAAUUAGUGAAAUUGACUCAAGAAUAAAUAGAAAAUUCUAGUAGAUUUCUAACAAGAGACUAAAUUGUAAUAAUAAUUUUAAAACUUCCCACAAAGAAAAUCCAGGACAAGAUGGCUUCACUGGUAACUCCUACCAAACAAGAAGAAUUAAUACCACUUCUUCACAAAAUCUUCCAAGAAAUUAGAGGGAACACAUCACAACUCCUUCAGUGAGUUUCCUGAAGAUUUUUGCUGAAGGAUGUCUUGCGAUCAUAAUAAGAACCACAAGGGCCGGUGCAACCACAACAUUGAUUAUUGAUAGGCUGAGAUCAACACAAUAAAUUGGUGUCGUGAUUGCACUUGGAAUUAACCAAGGGUGAUGCUCUUUACCUGCAACUUGCUUAACAACCAUCUGACUCAGGACACCAUUGGAAACAUUAUUUAAUUCCCAAGACUUUGACUGGAAGGUAUUAUUUGAGAAUGUGCAUAGACUCAGAUAUGACCAGACAGUUUGGAAAACCAACCUAUAGCCUGCUUACAGGGUUCCUGGCGGCCUUAUCAGGUGAGUAAAGGAGGUCACUUCCUGGCAGGUGCAGGAACCUCAGGAUAUCUUGGGGACCUUGAGAAGAGAGGAAUUAACUCACACCUAUAGGUGCUGCAGGCAAAGCCUAUCGGCAAGGCCUCGGCUCGGCUUCCUAGCCCCCGGAGGCUUUUAAAAGCUCAAUCUGAGAUUCUUUAUGAAAAGUUCCUGCAAAGCAGACUUAAAAAGAGCCAAUAUGGUCAGUUGGAAUUCUUGCUGCACUUAUGUAAAUAAUCAGGCCAGUUUAUUGAAACUAGACUUAAUUUGUAAAUAAAUUAGUCUUAUAUGUUGUCUUUGAUAGCAAGGGGAUGACUGUAGACAGAAAACAAUGUUUCAGUAGAAACUAUAAUAUACAGCUGGGGAUAUUAGACUCUAGUUCUGUUAAUUGUGUUUGAGGUUUUGUUUCUGACCUGUAAAGCAGACCAGAUCCUAAAUUCUCCCUGUUUCCUCUAACCUCAGGCCUCAGCUCUCCAAACUAAUGUUUCCAGUUUUUCUCCCACCCUCUGACUUGGAAUCAUUGAGAACUAAAACCGCCUUUUUCCUGAAGCCAUGCAAGCUAAAGUUGGACAAUUUGAUAUAAGCUUAGAGAAAUCACAGCAGUUCACGUUGCCACAGCAGCUUCAUGCUUGUUGCUGUGUGGUCACUCAGAAAGACCACCAGAGACAUUCAAGCUGCAAGUAGGGAAAAGAUGUCAGGUUGCCACUGCCUGCCCUCACUCCAUCUGGAGAUGCUUCGAACCCCACAUCUAGAAACCUUACCUGGCUGCUUUCAGAACUCAGAAACUGGGAUUAUAGUCUGCUCCAAUCACUAACCAUUGGUUUUCCUUUGUUUCCAUAGAAACACCUUUUAUUAAAAACCUGAUGCAAGUAUGUGCGCCAUGUAGGCCUAACUUGGGGAACCCACCUGCAUCGCCACUUCCUGAAAUGAGACACAGCCUCUACUUGAACUGACCUACUCUCUGGACUAAGAGAGGGUUCAAUGAGAUAAAGACAACCCAGCAACUCGGGACAGGUUCAAACCUUCUUACACCAGGUGGCCAAGACAAUAAAGUAGUUCACAAUGGCACCCAAAUCUUUGACCAGGUUCCUCGGGCCCCCAAGGUCACUGACUUAGUUUUAUUGCAGGACACUUCAAAUUUGGGACCGUGGAUACAGACUAGAUUUCAGACUGCUGUCUGUGUAUUUAUUAUAGGAUUUGGGACUAGAAUCCUAUUUAGAUAUGUGCUUUCUGAGUUACAAUGCACCCUACCCCUGACUUAGCACAUCAGCUACGGAGGCAGUUACAUUCUCACCACCCUCACCUUUGACUCUGAUGGCUUGGCAUCACAGGCUGGGUGGUAGGGUGAGCCCUAACAGGUGGGGUUUUUCCUUUUUGUAACGCAAAUGCAUAACUUAAGCUUUGAUUGCCCAGGCCCCCACUUCAGAUAGGGCAUCAGCUUCAAGGAAGGCUACCUGGGAAAAGCACAUUGCUAUUAGCCACGCCAGAUACAGAGCCAGGCCACCUUCCCCACUGAGGUGGCUUUGUUUGGAAGAUCUUAUUUAAUUGCAGUGACUGACCAUUGGGGCACUUGUUUUAUUUUCUCUUUCUGCACUUUAAAUUCCUGCUUUCAUGUUUUAAAUUCACCAGUAAAGAGUGAGCCUAGGAAAACCCCAGGCCCCCACGCCAAGCCCCAGUAAAAGUAGGACCCCAGGCCUGUGCUCACAGUAUCCUUCUCUCCCUCCCUCCCUCCCUCCCUCCCUCCCUCUCUCUCUCCACCUCUCUGUCUCUCUAUCCCCCUGACCUCGCAGUGUGGCACCAGGUGUGCUGUGUAAUUUCCAGGUCCUGUAAGUAAUAAACCUUUAGUUUUUCAAGUUUCCCAAUAGUUAGUGCUGAGGGGUGUCUUGCCAUCAUAAUGAGAACCACAAGGGCCGGUUCAGCCACAGUGUUGGUUAUUGACAGGCUGGGGCCAGCACACAACAGCUCUUAAGAUUCCUUUUUGGUAUUUGAAUGAUCAAAUGACUAAUGUUAUGUGGCAUAUGUCAUGGGUUUGCACAACGUUUGGCACAAACAAGAAUGUGAUUGUGGCCACCCAAGCCUCGCUGCAGAGGGGUGGUCUAGACAAAUUCUGGAAUAAACAGUUUCUGCUCUUUUUGACAUUCUGUUUAAGGGCAUUCUUUUCAGAUGUGGGAGUGCAUUCUGUUUCGUUAGCAGAACUGACUCUGUAUUUCAGACUUUGGGAGGAAGGUGCCUGGGUGUUUUCAUAGUAAAGGUUACUAUUAUUAGUUUUGCAAAUGGUUGACUGAUAAACAGAGAAAAGGAUGAAAUUUGUGGGAUAUGCUAACACCUACAGAUGCAUCCGUCUGGAAGGAAGGGUUGAAGUGGGGUGCGGACAACUCAACAUUUGAAAAGAUAGCUUUUUCACACGUCUAGCAGGAAUCUUCGUGCUGACACUAUUAGACUGAACCAUAUUAAGUUACCAAUAUUUGAGUGUCUUUACCCUACAAAAUGGCAGCUCCAUACGGCUCAACCAAAUAUGUUUUUCAAAAGAGGGAGCAGUAAUAUACAGAUCCAGACCCAUAUACCAAGCCUGCCUUUCUGCCACCCUUUCUUUCCUCUCUGACUUCUUUCUUUCCACUUUCUGAUAAAAACUUUAUUUAGUGCCAGCUUUGUUUCAGGCUUUAAUUUUAGGAAUAAUUUAUUUGAUUGGUUUCUUCUGUAUGUUCCCAACUUAACUUUAAUUUUACUUCUAUUGACAACUUCAUGGUACUCUGACACACUGCCGGCACAAGAGCUGGCUCAUGAAGGUACAGGGUAUCGGGAGAGCCAAUGAAGAUUCUGGUUUUGGUCUGGGACACGUCUCCAGUGAUGGCGCUCCUGCUUUGCCAUUUAGGUUUUGAGUCACUUGCGGUGUGAGACCUCAAGUUACGAAAGUAUGUAUGUCACAUUUACUGACCACACUCCGUUCAAUCUGCCCUUUCCUCUGCAGUCCUUUAUUUGAGUUUUUCAACAGAGGACUAAAAAAAAUGAAUGGAAGCAAUUUAAUUCCUAUGUUUCCCUGGCAAAGAUAAGAACAUAAAGAUUCCAGGAGAAGAACUGAAUGGUAACAAAGCUAAUAUCAAUAUUGAAGAGAAAUGUACAGUUUGACUCGGAACAAGUGUGCUUGUCUGUAAUUUUGAAAUUAAUGGCAAGAAAAGUGAGGUUGCGUGGAAAAGAUGGGCACUUACGUGAAUGCUUCAAGGAAGAGUGGGGACAGAUGAGGAGGAGCAGUGGGGCAGUUGGUGAUGGAGCAGAGACGUGUAUCCAGGCGCAGGUGUUGGGCACUCAGAUGUGACCCUGAGGCAGCUCGCCCGAGGAGGGGAGACCAUCCUACCCCUCCUCUGCCUCCUCUUUUUUUUGCCAGCGUGUGAAGUUGCGUCAAUAGCAGAUUUAUAUUCUCCAUACAAAUACUUUCAACCCCCGAGUCGUAGAAAACGGGGCAUCCUAACUCUCCACAUGCAGGGUCCAGGGCACGUGGACACAACCUCCUGGCAUUUCUGUCCUGGCAGCAUGGCUCCACUCGCCAGCGUCUGGAGGCAGGUGUUUCAUUGCACCGCUGUCGCUAGAUUACCACUCUCAUCAUCAGAGUGACCAGCUCUUCUCUACUUCUGCUAACGUUUUAAGGAAGUACGUUGGUCAGGGGCGCCCACGCUGACCAGCCACAUGGCCUGGGUGCCUUCAGGCUGUGGGCCACUGUGGGCAAGCCUGGGAUGUGAACUCGGGCUGUGACCCUGGGGCCGUUAAUGGCUGUCACGUGUCAUUGGAAUCGCAGUAGCAGCUGUUUAUAGAGAGAUGCUCCCAGUUGAAUCACUAUGUACUAAAUUUGUAGUUACCCAUCUGGAUAACAGAACAAGCUAUUGGCAGGAAGAAGAGGAAAAUUACACAAAUUUAACAGGGCAAAGUACGCAUGCCGCAUAUACUUUUCGCUCUGAAAUGCAAGAUUCAGUAAAGACGAUUUCCACGUUUGGAGCUUGGCCUCCGGUGGGUUUAGCAUCACCCUCCUCUGAUGUGGUUCUUGUUGGUAGCACUCUGCUCCCCAGUCUCGGACUUUUCAGUGUUUCUCUCUGGGUGGCUCCGUCAAGUUCCCAUCAUGCUGUAGCAUCUUCCUGGAAAUGUCUCCUUUUUGACAUUUCAAGACUCAAGCUGCUGCUGCCCUUUGUCUGCUCUCCUGCUGCAGCCUUUCCUUUAUAUAAUGAUCUUCCGACGUCCAACAGUCUCCUAUUAUCCAGAAAGGACCCUGCUUUUGUAAUUUACAAAUAUUUACUAGCCACCAAGAAAACGCCAAACUUUCCACUAAAGAACUGAAACUUUGCCUUUGGACCUGGAGAGCCACACACAUGAUGGUAUGACAGAAGUACCCGGGCACGUCAAAUCACAUUCCAUCCUCAAUGAAUAAGCCCUGGGUGACUGAAAUACAUCACAGAUGGAUGAGAAAAUAUGAAAACAAAAAUACCUUCCUAAGUGAAACCAUACUGAUUUACCUUCUGUGAAAUAAAUAAAGUAGGAUGUUUCUUUCAAAGAUAUGGAAUGAAUCCAUGCAGUUUGCUAUAGUUGUUUUAAAGUAAACUAUAUUUUAAAAAUUUUGCGGGGGGGAUAACUAAGUUGACCAUUUUUCUUUCUGAAUGGAUAACAAAUAUUUUGCUCUUCAAAAGAGGAAAAUUAAUUAGGAAAAUCAAUAAGCAAGCCAUAGAACGGGAGAGAAUAUUUACAGUGCAUAUAUCAGACCAAAAGCUUGUGUCUCAAUAAUAUAAAGAACUCCUAUAAUUUAUCAUAAAAGACAAACAACCAAAAAUGGGCAGAAUAGUUGAAUAGGCACCUCACAAAAGAAGAUACGUGAAUGGCAAUAUGAAAGGGAAAAUUGCUCAAUAUCAUCAACCGUUAGGGAAAUGCAAAUUAAAACCACAAUGAGAUACUUCUGUACACAUCAGAAUGUCAGUAACUUAAAAAGAUUGACAAUACAGCGUUGUCAAGGAUUUGAUCAUAACUCUCAAAUAUGGCCAACAGAGUGUAAAACGGAAUAGUCUGGGAAAAUGUUUGGCACUUUUUCAAAAAGUUAAACAUGCAUCUUCCCUGUGUCCCAGAAAUUCCACUCUCAGAUAUUCAUCUAAGAGAGAGAACAUACAGGUCCACAAAACACCUCAUGUGAGCAUGGUCAUCGAAGCUUUGUUCGUAGUAUCAAGAACAAGAACAAGCCCUGAGGUCCGUCACCAGGAAAGCGGAGGCGCUGUGGUGUGUGUAUACAGGGGAUACUUCUCACCGAUACAGGCGUACGCUUCUGAUACGCGUAGUAACGUUAAUGGAUCUCACCUAUUAUGCUGAGUGAAAGAAGCCAGACGGAAAAGAGUACACAGUCUAUGACAGAAAUUACAUGAAGUUCCAGAAGAAUUCAAAAAAAACUAUGACAAGAGAAAUCAGACGGCAUCAGGGGCCUGUCUGGGUACGGACAGAGGCACCUUCUGGGGUCGUGGACACCGUCUGUCACCCAUGUGGGUUCCUUGAGUGAAGGCAUUUGGAAAAGAGAAUGUGCUUCUAUAUGUAAUGACGUCUCAAUAAAAUGUUUCCUAAAAGAAAAACAGACACAGAUGUGUGUGCAUAUUUCCAGUAAUGGUUGGGGAAUGUGACCAAACAACAAUUUCAGUGGUAAAACUGGAUCUAACUUCUGCAAUAUUUCAUCCAUUUGCUUAUUUAACAGCUCGCAUCCUGCACCCGCUGUGCUCCAGACCCUGUUCCGGGACUUGGGAGACCACGGUGCAGUGGGGACGUACAGUUCUGGAGCUGGCAGCCAGCCUGAGGACGGGCUUCCUGAAGGGGGCUGGGCUCCCCGCCUCCAUCUCAGUGGGAGACUUUGAUGGCAUCCGGGCUGCUCACCUCAGACAGCUGGGCUCAUUCCUCCAGAGCAACGACCAUGACUCUGUCCUAGGGGUCUUCAUGAUGAUGUUUUAACUACCCUGCAGCCUACCAUUCAAAAACCAGAGCUCUAAUUCCAUCAGGUGUAAGUGCAAAAAAUAGAUUUUGAUGAGUGAGCAUUCCGGAAAAGAGGUAAGAGAAGUAAAUGUAAUAAGUAAAAAUUAUGCAAAGGGGAAAUUCAAAAUGUUGAGUAAUUUUCUACCCCAAAUAUUCCGACACCAUUUUAAGCUUCUUAACUCUGGGGCUAGUGCUGCCUUCCUCUCUCUGUUGCUCAAAUACCACUGCAGCUGGCUGUGUGCACACGGGCCUUCCUGCUACAUCUCCUGUCCUUUAGUUUAGUUUGUUUACAGGAUUGUUCUGGACGGACACGUGGGUGCACCUCUUUCUUCUCCACCCCAGGAGCGCCUUUCUAGGUUGGAAGGCCCACGCUUCUGUUCAUGUUUUCUGAGCCCUUGCUCUCUUGUCUUACAUGAAAACUUGCUUGCGUCCCUGUCCUGUCCUUUCUAACGUCUUCAGUCCUUGAUGCUAAAGGGCCGACCAAACAACAUUCAGGCAAGAGUCAGUGGGGCUGGGCCCCAGGAGCACAGCGCUCACACAGGCCCUUCAGAACCACAGGCCUGCGCGGCGUUGCUGCGCAGGGGUCAGCAUGGCCCGAAGGCCUUUUGUUUCCACGUUGCCUCAAUGUGCAUCUUCUCCCCACGUGUGAUGGUGUGUCUGCUGUGCCGUGCCAGAGAAAAUCACCACUUCAUGCAUGUUUUUCUUUUGCCUCAACAGAUUCAAAUGUUAUGAGGUUUGUCAGGAAUUCCCUUGAGUUUGUACCAAAUCUUUGUAUCUCUUUUCCUUCAUAUUAGACAAACAUGUUUGACAUAAACUUUCAAGGACUGCAAAUAGAGGAGAGCUCUGAAUGGAUGGCUUUUACUUUAUGGAGAGUUAAUAAAUCUCAGAAAAUAAUAAUCUGGGCAGGAUGCAAUGAAGCUGAAUAGUUAAUCUGCAUAGAAUCAAGUAUGUGAUAUGGAGCCCACGUUCCACGUGGCAGAGUCCCAGUUCCAGACAAUCACCGCACAGACUGCCAAGAAACCAGGACUUGGGGAAACUAUGUCAGCCUUUGAAACGAUAUGAGCUGUAGGCGGAUUAUUGACUAAUCAUAGAACAGGUGGCUCAUUUAAAAAUUCUUAUUAUUUCAAGCGAGUGAUAAUUUUUGUAUUGGUUGUGAAUCUUAAGGGCAUAGAAAGGUGGAAGAAACGUUGGAAAGGGAGUUAGUGCUGGCACAAGAGUUUGCUGUGAUAACACUGCAGAACGAUCCGCAUACCUGCUGGCUCCGUGCUCCUGGGCAGUUGAGAGUCAGGCGGAGGUCCCUUCACCUGGGGCGCACAGCCACCUGGAAUGGCUCUUCCUGGGUCAGAGGGCAAAAGUGCAAGGUGUCCAGCAAACUCUGCCCUUUGUGGCCUUGGCCAGCAUCACGUCUCUCCAUAUUCCAAGGUAUAUCACAGGACCAUGGCCAAUUCACCUCUCCCUGUGGAGGCUCAGUGGAACUCCAGGACUGGGGGCUGGGGGCACAGUUCUCCAGGGCACAGGAGAGCUGUCUGAGGCCUACGCUCAGCUGGGUGUGAAGGCAUGUGGCUUAGAUGAGACAAUAUUUGUGCACAAACCGCUUUUCUUUGUGAUCCUCACGUGUGUCCGUGUGACAGUAAGGAGCCACAGCAGCAGUGCAGCCACAGCACAGCGACCCUGUUCCCUUCCCAGAUGGCAGUGAUACGGAAAAGGAGAAAUACUUGUCCAACUACUGCUACUAAUAUUAGAGGAAGGAAUGAUUCCGUUGAUUGCCUGAUGACCCUCUGCUCGGUUAUGGAUCCCCAGCUGUCCUUGCUGUACCUGGAGUUGGGCUCAGUUCCAUACUGAGGUUUCUCUCCCCUACUGCAGUAGCUCAGAUAAAAUCUGUCUUGUCAUUUCAACAAAUGUGCAGCACAUUUUAUAUAUAUAUAUAUAUGGCAUCAAACUGAUGUGUUCAAAGAUCACGUAUGUCCUGGUGGUGUAGACAUCGAUUCUUUUCUUCAUUUCCUUAAUGCCUGCUGGAUAUUCCCAUCUGUCAACCCCACACGCAAUUCAAACUGACAUCCUAAUCUGGACUCAUUAUCUGUCAUCCCCAGCCAGCCUCUCUCUGGGUUCCAUUCUGUCAGUAGCCCCAUCACCCAUCCAUUCACCAAGCUAGAGACCUCAGAGCCCCCUUGGGCACCUCUGUGCUGGGCCUCACCUCCACCCCGAACACUUCUCAGUAAACAAAAUUAUUUUAAGAGACUAGUUACAAGAUUAUCAGAAUGAAUUUAAGAAGCUAGAAACGAGCUCAUCCAUUGAGUGGCCACAGCAAAACACCUCCCACAAUUGCAGAAGUGACCAUGUUUGGGUCCAGCAAGGCAAAGCGAAUAGAAGAGAUGCCUCUUUUGUGCUAUUGAGAGGCAUAUAUCUGCUGACACAGAGACAAGACCAAUCCAGAAGAUUAAGUCAAAAAGCCCUUAUUGCAGAAGGAUGAUUCUGUGUAUAGACAUUAGUAAUUGUUAAAAACCCCUGUAGAAUCCCUGAAGAGAAAUUCGUGGAAGAAAAUAAUUUGUCCUGAAGGCGGUACCAUAACAAGCAUCUGGAUGAAUAUCAAAAGCAGUGUUUGAAACAAAUGAGGUCGAUGGAAACCCCACCUGCGUCUGUCUGUCUACCAUUCCUGUGGGUGCAGUAAGAGGAGAUGGAAGGCUCUGAACCAAGAGUUCACUCUGGAAACCCAAGGUUCAAGGAGUGCACAGUUUUAAUCACAUAAAGAGAGAAGCUCUUUAUGUUAAAAAUAUUCCUGUAGCUCUAAUUUCCACGCUACAAGUGUUAUCUAAAUGGUGAAUUAGUAAAAUCCAAGCCAUUGCUGUCCAUCCAGUUUUAUCUUUAUGAGAGGAAAUGUAAUCUGAAGACCACUCUGGAAUUUCUAAGCUGACUGACUGCUUAAGGAAGGUUAACCAAAUGUUUUUAAGAAAAAGAACGAAUUAGGAAAAAUAAAAACCAUGACAUUUUGUGAGAGAUUCUUACUUUGAAGAUUUGUUUAUGAUAGUAGUGUCUUACAAAAAUUGUUCACUUAAUUGACGUAUGUGAGGUCCAAAGUGUAAACAAUUGAAAUAUAUUAACAUGUAGUGAAAAAGUCCACAAAUGUAAAGCAAAAGUCCAGCUUUGGAAAAGUAAUGUUAAAGAUGGCUUUGCAGUCAUGUGUGGUUGGUGUUAUAAUUUGAAGCCAAAAGAACAAAAUUAGUAGAGAAACAUCUGUAUAUUCUUGUGGAAGAGUUUCUUCAUUUUGAAAUAGUUGAAUUUAAAAGUUCUGCUGAAUUAGAAAUCCUUUUGCAUCAUCAAAACAAAUCUCAACUACGUCAGUCAGUGAGAGAAAAGCAAGUUAGAUUCAUAAAUGAUCACACAUUUUAAGUCUAUUUUAAUGAGAUCAAUUUUUCCAAUUUUGUUUAAUGGCAAGACAGGACAUUCAGUCAAUUAGAGGACGAAGUGAUAACUUGUCUGCUCAUGCGUACAAAGACUUGUUUUUUAAGCAAUGGCGAUUAUCAGAAUGAUUCGGUAAAAAUUCUGAGUCAGAUUCCUGUAGCCAAUUUGUUUACAAAGCCUGAUAUAAAAGAGUGAUAUUUGCAAGCACAUGCUAAAGUUUUCAUUAAAAGUUUGAAAAUAUUGUUGUUGGAAGUGUUCCAGCUCAGCAUUUAAGAAUCUCUCUAAUGUUUGAUGUUUAACUUUUCCCUCAAGGUCAUAUAAUAUAAAGAAAGGAGGAGUGAGUUUUCGCUUGCCUCGCCCACGUAGAUAGAUGCUCCUGCGUCCCCCGGUUCACCCCGAGCGCCAGCCAGCCAGGCGUUUCUGUGUUGUGGCCGUGUGGAAACUUGGGAGGCCCAGGGCACUCGCAAAAGCAGACCUGCCUUGUGGCCUCCCUGCUGCCUUCGCAGCACAUCCGUCCCUCCUGGCCGGGAUUGCAACCACCAUCCUUGAACAGUCGCCCCUGUUCCCAUAGCGCUCCCCGCACGUGAAAGUCCCCAGCUUCAGAGCUCAGCCCAAGUGUACGCUCCGCUUGCCCUCCCCGUCCUGGGACCCCAGCCGCCCCUCUCAGCUCUGUCCUCCCGCAGCCCACGAACUCCUUGAAGCAAAGGCUGGAUGUCACGGCUCUGCAUCUCCAGCUCCUACGCAGGGCGGAUGCCUACAGUUCGGUUCUGUUUGCUGAGCAGAGUGGGCCGGAGCCCGGCGCUCCACACAGCCCCACCACGCAUGUGGGACAGGCCAGCUCUCUGGUCUUCAGUCUCCAUGUUUUUUCUCUAAGUGACAGAGCCUGUUUUUAAAUAAAGCACACCUCACUGGGAGGCCCCAUAUAUGAAAACAGAUUUGGGGGGCAGUUCAGGUAGCAGAGGGAGUGGGGACCCCAACACUGCCACAUUCUCCCUCCCACCUGACCCAACAUGCGAGGACUCAGGGGCUCAUGAGUUCAGGGAAAUUAAGCUUCCCAUUUGCCCAGCCCAGGUCAGGGGUUCAGCUGUCACGGCUACCGCUGGACUGUGCGGGGCCCGGGGGCCGUGAGCGUCCACAGCCCCACCUCCGGCUGCAGCCGGGAGGCUCCGGGCCAGAGCUCCGCUGGGUGAGGAGGACGGCGCAGCAAGGCGGGUGCUGGGCUGGCGUGGGAGCCGUGCUCUGCACCACCCGCCUCACCCCUGCAGUCUCAGCUGGGGCGGAGGGAAAGUUCCACGGCGACGACUAAUCUCGUCUUUAAAUUUCCAUCUGUAGUAACGACAACAGUGCCUAACCCUAUAUAGUGCUGCUGGGUGACAGGCACCAUCUAAGACAUGCCUCUGUCCACAUAUUACCUCAGCCAGGCCUCCCGCCUAUUCUCGACCCCACGUAUAGCCACGGACACUGAGCCCAAGGCAGGUGCUCGUGGCCUGAGAGCUGGAAGUGGAGCCAGGGCAGCCCGGACCUAGGGUGCAGGCUUGUAGUCACGACGCAGAGUGGAGAGCCCAGAAAGGUCUCCAAUGAGCAUUGAUGAGGGAUUUCACGGCAGCAGAAGGGAGCCGUGGGCUCACUACAGUCACGUUUGAGGUUUUCCAUUCACUCAGGAUUGAGGCAAAACCAGAAACAUUCGAACACUUGAGCAGCAGGCCCCAAAGCUAUGGUCUGCAUGUGACCCCUGCUCUUCUGACGGUGAUGCGGUGUUUUUAAUCAGCCCAGCUCCAGCCUAUCAUGGUAGGCUUGCGUUGUCUGCAUUUGAAGGUGCUGAUGAUUACAAGCCCAUGCCUCCCUGUGCGCCCAGCCCUCUCCUAGGCCCUGACUUAACCCUUGCCUGAGCCUAUGGGGGGAGCAGAGAGCUAGGGGAGCCCUGGGGGCGGGUAACAGCCUCUGCUGCAUGCAGGGGGCCUCUGGCCCUUGUUGGUCACCGACUCUCCCAGAGGAGAGGGGAGCAGAAGACAAGGUGAGGCAGGAUGGGCCUGCGCUGCUGGCUGGUGGCCCCAAUCCAAGACCAAGAGCAGCGCUGGAGUCUCACCCGGAAAGCGUCCGCCCUCCAUGGCCGUCCGCAGCCAUGCAGGUCCUUUUCCUAGAUUUCACCUCCCACAAGGUCUGGCUGCCUCAAAGAUUCAAAGUCUAAACCACCACAGACCAAGGGCCUGCCCUCCCCCAAGGACAAGCUGCUCCACUGGGAGGGCGCUGACCUCCGACCCGGGAUUCCGAGAAGCGGCUGGAACACGGGCAGCCCUGCAGGUUCGGGCAGCAUCACUGCACCGGGCGGCCAACGUGAUGCCCAGAAACGCUUCUCCAGUUUCGCAGGAAGCCCAGUCACAUCUGGGGGCCCCUGAUGCCGUCCACCGACACCUGUGCUGCGAAUGCCCUGAGCCACAAACAUGGGCUCCGGGAGGACAGCAGGUUAUGAAAUCUCACUGCAGAGCGUUCGUCCAGAGGAACCCAUCCUUAAAUGACCUGUGAACUGGGCAGUGACGGGUGGGCGGAGAACACGUAACAGACACGUGUAGACACGGUUUUCUGUUCCAGUGAUGAUGGCAGUUACCUGAGUCUAAGUUGUUAGCCUCUGGAGAGCAUAUUGUGAGGACACAGAAAGGCGUCCUGUGAAACCUAUGGCUACAGACCUGACACCGUUGAGGGGUGGCGAAGGCUCAGGUGAAAAUAUUGUGUCUCCGUUUUGUUUUAGCAGAAACGUCCCAACCACGUGUGGAAAACACAUACGUGGAAGGCCUACCUGGUGGUUUGUGUGCAGCCGACUCCUUCAAAGACAUUCCGCUUCCGAGUUGGUGUUUGAAUGUGCAUUUCAGGGGGCCACCUAGGAUGUGACAACAACAGCCUCUCCCUGACCCAGAAACACCACCCCAGCUGAUCAUGGAGCCCACAGUUUUGCCAAUUCUCCAGAGAUCCUGCUGGCGUGGCCUCCAAAGGUGUCCUGGGCUCGGCUGCGCUUGGCUCCUCCACUGCCGUGAGCCAUCCAAACGCCGACACUCUGGCUGGGACGUCACGUGACUUAGCCUCCUCUGAGCCCCACAGCAGACGGGCUGACGCUCACCGUCUCUUCUGUCCUCCUGGGCACACGCUCCUCUCUGAGCCCAAGCUCUCCUGCAGGUGGGAGUGGCCCACAGCUGCGUUUGGGCUGGAAUGGGGUGGGGUGACUGCACUCCUAGGCUGAAUUCUACAGCUCCAGGGGCACAACUCCUGUCCUGCCCUUCUGCAGCUCAGGUCAGGGGACCCAGGUGACACAAGGGACCUUGGUCCUGAAACAUGGCUUGGAGGAACGCCACUAGUCUGGAAAACUGGUUUUGACCCACAAGUACACAGUUGGCCCUACGCUGUUGCUCACCUCCUGUACCAGCUCAAAUAGUUUGCCAAAGCAUUUCUGGAAGCUUGUCUCCUUCUCUCUCAGAUCAGCAGAGCAGACAUCCUCCAGCCUCCCUGUCUCCCUGCACCCCACAGCCAGGCACAAGCCCACUUCGCUACCUACGGGAGGACUGAGCAGAACAGUGACACUAUGAAUGUCUUCAGUACAUGCGUUCACUCCCCCCAGGGCUUCAUCUGACGCCGGCUCAUGCUACGGACUGGGAAGGACUGAGCAUCAGCAUACAGCUCGGAUUUCCUGACGUGCGUCCACGGCACAAAAGCCAUAGGAGGUGCUUUGGGAAAGAGAUCCUGUAAUCAUAUGUGUGUGGGAAAUGCUGCCCAUUUCUUUCUUAGAGCUUCAAGACCAUGGUGGUGAUGCACAGGAAGUGCCCAGAACUGUUACGGUUCCACAAUCUAGACGUUUCUCUAAACCUUCUGAAACUGAUGAACUUCCUUUUCUUGGCUUGUUGUGUUUGGUUCUUCACUUCUGAGACCAUGCAAGGGAAAGUGCAAAAGACAUCAGAGGAGAGAGAACACAGAGCAAGAGAGAGGCCUGCUGGUCCUGCAGUCCCCUAGAGAAAAUCUAUGCUGGAAAGGGGUGGAGCUUCUACUCUAAAUAUUUAGUAAAAAAAAUUUAAAAAUUGCUAUGCUUUCUGAGCCACUUUAUAUUUUUUCCCCUAAGACUUCACCGAGACCAUGAUUCAGCCUUCCAUUUUGUAUCUGCAGAGAUUUAAAGCGGGGAGUAGACCUUAGGUAUUUCGGAAAACGUCUAACAAGCUUCCGUCCAGCCGCGCUGGUCUCCGCUCCCUGGCCGGAGGCCCCGUGGGCGCCGCCUCCCGCCCUCCACUCCCCCACCAGACGUCCGGUGACUGCGGUUAGGGACGCACGCUCCUCCGGCCGAGGGAGAGCCGCGCUUCUCCCGGUCACGGCGCAGCCGCCUUCCGCGGAGCCAGGCCCCUGGUAGAUUUACCGCAGCGUGGAGGCUUGGGACGAGGGACCACUGUCACUGCCCCCCAAACUUCAGCCCCCGUCCUCUGUUCCAGGCCCAGGCCGCGGUCGGCAAGCUGGAACCUCUCUUUGCCUCCACUGGCAUCGGGCAAAUGCCUUCAAACCCGGAAGACAGUGGCUCGGCGCAGCUCCUUGUUUGAAGACUACAGCUUGGUGGCUUCUAAGAAAGAGUCCAGACUCUUGCGGGACCACAGCCAUGUACUGUCCCUGGCACCACGUAGACAGCCAGAGCGCCCAGGCCGGGUGACCGGGUCUCCGGUGCCCCGCCCCCGCUGGAUGCCCGCCUGGUCAGGCACACGGCGCACGGCAAUCCUCUCGCUGGGCCGGCGUCAUCGCGCCCCAGUGUCCGCGGAUGGCUUGCCUGGGCCACGCACAGCGCCGGGCAGAGGACACGGGCCAGACGCCGCCCAUACAGUGUCCACUGGUCACUGGGCAAAUCCUGCCGAGGGCCGCUCUGCCGGGUGGGCCAGGCGGCCGUGAGAGCGGCCGGGGCCAACCAGGCAUCACGGAUGAGCCACGGCCGCCGGAGCAGCGCACACGGCCACCGGAGCAGCGCACGCGGCCACCUGCUCUGCCCGGGGAAGCAACACCCACGCCGUCCAGAAGCGGCUGCGAGACCAGAAAUGGGCCCGGAAAGGGCGCAAAGGGGGCUAGUCCCGCGAGACGCGAUAGAGGCGGAGUCGGGUGGGGCGGGGGUAGGUGGGGCCCCGCCCACCCGCCAGGGGGCAGAGGCCGCGCCGCAGCUCCGCUUGGACUCAGUUCGGGCCUGGUGCGCACGCGCCGGCUGCUGGCGCUGCUGCUGGUGCCGCUGCUGCCGCCGGGGUGGCGACCUUGUCCGUCCUUCAUCCAGCCUGGAAGAGGUUCGCUUGCGCUGGGGAAGCAGAUUUCCACGCUGGAAGCAGUCUUAUGGAGAGGCCCGUGUGGCUCAGCAAGCAUUGAAGCCCUCAUCCCCACCGUCCAUGAGGAACUGGAGCCUGCCAAGGCCAUGUGAGUGCAAGUGGACCCCUCCCCAUCCAGCUUCCAGAUGAGACCACAGCCCUGGCUGGCUGUUUGACUACAACCUCAUGAAAGACCUUGAACCAGAGGCCUCCAGAUAAACUCUGCACAGAUUCCUGAUGCACAGAAACUGUGAGAUGGGAGGCAGUACAGGCAUAAUUAAUGAAGCAUAAUUAAUGAUGUUGAGAACCAGUGAUGUGGGAGAUGCACUGGAGCAUCUCCUUCAGGCUGAACAGGAGGACAAACACCGGAGGGGACGGGAGACCCAGAGGUGAGGGAUGCUGAGCCCAACACGGGACAUGGCGACAGAGGGACAGCUCAGGUGCCUGUUCCUGGAUGGAGAAGAAGCUUCUCCAAAGUUGAUAAAAGAACACUUACAGUAAGCAAACAUGGCAAAAGAUUUUUAAAAGAAGAAAAAAAAUGUUUUCAGCAUUCUGAGAGAGCAAGCUAAUUAAAAACAGAUUACAAAAAUCUGGCAGACCUCUCUGCAACAGUAAAUCCUAGGAGAUAAAGGAAUGACGCGGUCAGCUAACGACAGAAGCAUGUUCUGACUGGGCCUGCCCACCCAGCCGCUCUUCGGUGGGAAGACAGCAGAGGUACUAAUACAUAAAUCCAGUUGAUCUAUAUUAAUAAAUAAACAUUAAUACAUUAAAACACAGCUGGUCUUAUUCCAGGAAAAAAAGGUGUUUGUUAUUUAAAAAUGUAUUUAUAGAAUUCACAACCUAUGAUUAUCUUGACAGCAGCCAAAGGAACAUUUAAUAAAAUUGAAACUCAUAAUUCAUUAAAAUUAUAAAGACAGCUUUCCGUCUUGAUAGGGGACAUUAGUCUGAACCCCACAGAUGAUGUUGCAGUCGCCGUUUUGGCCCUGGAAGCGGUGAACUCGGAAUAAUGGCAGGACUGGUUUAGAGAAAGCGAGAGGCAAGAGAAGGAAGCAGGUGGUGCGUGUGUCCAGGGGAGGAGAGAAACAGGGCUGUCAACGCUGAAGAGAAUACUAGCUGCCUGAAAACUGGAGAGACUCGUGUGACCAUGAGAUGUAAUAAAAACGAUUCUAUUCACAGUAACAAUGAAAAAUUCCGAGGGAUGACUGUGCUAGGGUAAAGUUCUUUUAUGAAGAAAAUAUAAAAAUUUUCAUCAAGAAGAUCUGGAUAAAUGGAGAAGACAUAAAAUAUUUAAAGAUUUACAUUUUUAAAAGGAACCUGUAACAUUUUUAUACAGUUCAAAGAAAAUCCCUAAUGCAAUUUUAGGAGAAAGUGACAAAAUUAAUCUACAGCUCAUUGGGAAGAAUAAACAUGCUAAACUUUUCAAAAGUAACCUGAAAUGGAAGGGUGUGAGGGCCGUGCUACACUGUCCUGCACUGAAGGGCUUAGUUAAAGCUGUAAGGUCCCAACAAAGCAACAGAGACUGAAUAGAAUACAAGUCUAGAAAGAUACUCCAGAAUAUGUGGGGAUUUGGUGUAAAAUUAAAGUGACACCUCAGCUCAGUGAAUGAAGAAGGGUUUAUUUUCACAAAAGCACAGCAGGAAAUAAUGGGCAAACAGUUGGUAGUAAAAUAAAACUAGAAUUCUGCUUUAAACCUCAUAGACUAAAUUCCAUGGGGAUCAGAAAUGUAAAUGUUAGCACAUUAACCGUGAAGUAGAGAAGAAAGUACAGGUUAACGUUCAUACAGUCAUGGGUGGGAAAGGCUGUCCUAUAUCUGACACGAUCAGUCAUGUGAUCAAGGGAAUGAUUUAGGCUCGAAUAUGUACGAAUCCCAAGUGUUCACGUGAAACAGUGAAACACCAAGGACAGGCUGGUAAGAGUAUUUAUAGGGAGAAGUUUAACAAAGAAGGCAGAAAACAACUGACAUCUUGAUAAAAAGAUCAAACUUGACCCUGGACGAGGUCAUCGCUAGAGAAGACACACGAGAGAAGGAACACGAAGGAACACGUGGCAACACGUUUAACUCAGGAUGAACAGCAUGCAGAGUGUGGUGGGUGCCUCUUCCUUCCCCAGUCACGAGGGCCGGGUAGGAUGCAGAGACUGAACACGCACGUGGGGCGUAGCCUGGUGCAGCGUGCUUUCGGAGUGACGGGCCCUCAAGCUUCAUGACAGCCUCUCGGCAGGCACCCGGCCUCGUGCUGUGGACAGAAGGGCCCUGGCUGGUCACAGACGAGGCCCGGGGACAGAGUGCCCUCGGCCUGAGCCCCACACGUCUGAUCUGAAACCUCUGGCUAAGCAGACCCGCCUCCAGGAGUGAGAGGACACAGAAUGGAACUGCGUCUUGUUACCCCGCUGACCGGGAGGUGGGAGCCCGAGAAUGGGGCUGGGUGGGUCCACCUGUGGGUGAGCUCACGUGUGUCAGUCACAGAAAGAUGUUGAGCCUCCACUGUUGGUGAGACAUCAGGGGACAGAGCAAUCUCUUACUAUUCUUGGAAUUGGGAAAUACACGUGUACACCAGGUCAGCAAGGACAAGAGGUUAUGCGGCAGGGCGUGGCACCUGGCCUCGUGACCCUGGGGCAGCUGUCCUGGCCGGUCGUGUGCCGGCUCCUGUAUUGCAUCGUCCCAGCAGCCGCUAUGUGCUUGGGGGGACGUGAACAAAGGGAGUCGCUGGGCUGACUCUGGGUUCAAGGGUGUUUUGAAGCCUUGUGUGGUGUCAGCUUCUCCAAGCUAGGUCCAGGGUUCCCUUUGGGUAAUGAGUCUAGGUUGGAGUCACUACGAGAAAUUGGCGUGAGAUCCGGCAGGCAGAGCGAGGCCGCAGCCCCGCCUCCUCCUGUCCUUCCAUCCUUCCUUCUCUCUUUCCCUCUCUCUGUGUCUCUCUAGCUCUCUCUGGAAUGGCCAGGCACGGGGGCAGGCUGCCUCUCUGUGGCUGUCUGCCGGCUCACCUUGACCUUGAUGGGGCAGCAUUGGGGGUCCAGCCCCCCCUCCUCACACAGGACCUUCUCCCGGGGUGCCUGGGAGCCUGGAGCAGGCCGUGGGCAGCUCGGGGGUGGCAGAGGGGGCCCUCCCCCACAGGAGUGGAGUCGACACACAGUUGACCUGAUCCAUCUCCAGCGGCCCCUCAUCUAUUUGUUCACAAAUCGUUGAAGGGAAGGAGUUUACUUUGGUACUUAAGGUGGCGUCAUUUACAUUUGGCACAUCGUUGUUACUUUUAUGCAUAUUAUGAUGAUGUUUACUAGGCUCAGGCAUAAGGCAAAAUUGAACUAGAAUCAUUGUUUCCCAUUAAAUAUUAAGGGUCCCUAUUAAAAGGAAAAAAUGUACUUUUCUCCAUCCCUUUCCCCCCAAAAUAAGUGACUUAGAAAAUCACUAUCAGAGAAAAAACAAGAUUUGGGCAACGUUUUGGAAAGGUAUGCUUUUGGGAAAGGUAGGUUUUAUAAUUCACACAUUUUUCAUGACCAAAGAAGAAAUAAUGAAUCCAAGCAAACUCUUAGUUCUCACUAAGUAAUAAUGUAAACAGAAUUUUCUUUGCAGGACCGUAAGGCAGUGUGUAAGGAAUGCACUGGCGCCACCUAAUACCUUGAAAGACAUUAUCUACGAUCAGAGAGAAAACAGUUACAGGAAAACAGCUGAAUAGAUUAAUUGGCAGAAGGGCCCACAUUGGACAUGAUUUGUAAACGCUAGACCUUGUCGCUUAGCUCAGCUACAAUAAUUGUGAUAGGCAGAAAGGUUUUAAAAUGCAUUGGAAUGGGUAUCUGAAUGUAGAGUCUUUGAACUUUCUUGGGUUGAGGAGAUAUUAGGAAAUAUUUUGGGGACAGGGAAUAUCUCACGUCAGAAGACAGAACCCAGCCGGGAGAUGGCAGAAAGACUGAGAAGUGGCUGUGGUUCCGAGGAUCUGGUGGGUUUUUUCUGGGCGGGUUUGUGAGCCCCAGUGACUGACCAGGUGAACCGGGAUGCGGCCCUUCUGGGCGCUGACUUCAUUUGUUCAGACGGAGCGUAAUUGCUGGUCUCAGAAAGCAAGGCUGUCUUGCUGAGUAAGACCCACAAGGGUGGCAAUGGUGACUUUUCUCCCGACACAGAAGGGAACCAGGUUCUUGAACACGCUCAGCACACACCUAGUGAGAUAACACCCACUGGCCGAGGGGCUUGCCUAGGGAAACAUAAAGCCAGUCUGUUAGGCCGGGUUGCAGAGUGUGGCUUAUGCAGCUGACCUGCUAGGUUAUAAAGGGGGAUCUCAGAGGGAGGUGGGGCAGGGAAAAGAAGAGAGGAAACAUGGGGGAGGAGAAUCAAUGACGACUGCAGCUGGUACAUCCUUUGAAUUCACCCCCUUAACCUCCCCCCUUAACUGGAAUCCUCAGUUCCUUCAUCCAUCACUCCUAACGUCUUGUUAAGGUCGGGAGAUAACGAAGGACUAAAUGUGGUCCCACCACAGGCGCGCAUUGAGGACAUGGGAGACCCAGCUAUUCACACACUGUCUUCAUUGACUAGACCGUGUUCUCUGUAGUCCUUGAUCACAGCCAACGUCAGAUUUAAAGGUGAUCCCUUCAUUGGAUGAGCUUGGUGCUUCCACGUGGAGAAGCACAGAAGGUGGACCCAUGCAGCCAUCCAUGCUUACAGACACUCCAGAGACAGGCUCAUGGCUCAACUAGAACAGACCAAUCCAUGUGGAUCAAGGACAGCGGGUGAUUUUAUUUGUUUAUUCGAACUUUCAUCCAGACAUUUACGAGGUUAACACCACAUCUCAGAAAACACACAAGCGUGUUAGGGAAAUGCCUGGGUCCUGCCAGUGAGAGUCUGCUGGGCAGUGGGCAUGGGCACGUGGCCCCAGCAGGUGGCCUGGGUGGCCCGAUGGAGAAGAAGCACAAAGGGGGGUCCACAGGUGCCCCAUAUCCAUCCGCGUGGUCUGUGCUACUCCUGGGCCUGGGAGCCUCCCCAGGGGAAACAGCAGAGGUCCAGAGAGGAGGGGCUGCUGGGCCACAGCUGUCCUCCAGGCCCCAGGCUGGGUGUGGGAAAAGGAGAGGGACCUGCCUCCGUGCCCCAGGCCUCCUGCAGACGGGGUCUCUCCCCAUCCCACGCGGAAACAAUGUCU
This is a long non-coding RNA of Aethalodelphis obliquidens (Pacific white-sided dolphin), 24448 nucleotides long. RefSeq lists it as uncharacterized. The transcript has 6 exons. The record is from RefSeq and is a predicted model, not a curated record. NCBI's taxonomy places the organism in Eukaryota, Metazoa, Chordata, Mammalia, Artiodactyla, Delphinidae.